This 253-nucleotide ribosomal RNA is filed under the name uncultured bacterium. RNAcentral's name for it is "partial 16S ribosomal RNA". It matches the Rfam family "Bacterial small subunit ribosomal RNA", at positions 524 to 776 of the family's 1533-position model. The record is from RNAcentral.
UACAUAGGGAGCGAGCGUUAUCCGGAUUUAUUGGGUGUAAAGGGUGCGUAGACGGGAAUACAAGUUGGUUGUGAAAUCCCUCGGCUCAACCGAGGAACUGCAACCAAAACUAUAUUUCUUGAGUGCUGGAGAGGAAAGUGGAAUUCCUAGUGUAGCGGUGAAAUGCGUAGAUAUUAGGAGGAACACCAGUGGCGAAGGCGGCCUGCUGGGCUUUUACUGACGCUGAGGCUCGAAAGUGUGGGGAGCAAACAGG